UUUCUGUCCUAUUAAACUGUCUUUAUCUCAACCCACGAGUUUUACUUUUUUUUCCCCCUCCAAUUCUCUCCCCCAUCCCACUGUGGUAGGGCGGGGCAGUGAAUGAGUGGCUGCAUUGUGCUUAGUUGCCAGCUGGGGUUAAACCAUGACACCCUUGAAUAAGCUUUAUUCUCCAUAAAUGCAGGUGCCGUUAGCAUCAGUUCGAGGAAAGAGCAGCAUCUCCAUAAGCUCCUGCAGCAGGAGGGGUUCUUGCCUGAGGAAAGCUAUAGUAGUCACUGUGGGUAACAGUUGCUUGCUCUUUCUCUCUCCCAGAGGCAGCACUCACUGAGGACUCAGUUGUCAGUUCCUCUCUGCAGAUGUUGUUGACUGCAUCUGGCUCAGGUUUGUGUGCGUUGCCUUUGGCUUCAUUCUCCUAGCGGCACAGGCAAAAAGGGACAGCUGAAGACUUACUGGCUGUGGACAGGAGCUGCCACAGCUGAAGCUGGAGAGGCCAGAAAAAGGUAAAGCAGCUGAAGAAUAAAAUAAAAGAGAUCCAGCUGGCAGCUGCCUCCAGCUGCAGACAGGAGACAGCUUGCCUCUCCAGGUGAGGAAGGAUCCAUCUUAGCAUAGUCCUCAGCAGAUCCUAUCACCGGUGUGCAGGGCAGGGUCUGUAUGUGUAACCAAAAGCACAGUACAGCCAUGUAGUGUGUGCACGCAUGAGGUUGUGUAUCUAGGAAGCCUCAUGUUGUAAGAGCUGUAAGACGCCAAUCUAUUCUCUUAGGUGGAUCACAGUCAAGUUACUGGAGCUACAGAAGAGGAAGGGAGGGAGAGAGAAACACAGAGAAAGAUGCACCCAAACUUUCAAAUUCUCCCAGCAGCUCUGAGAGUGGGAGCUGCAGUAAGUCCUGGACCCUGGGGGCCGUGUCACCCUUCUUCGGCAUCCCUGUCCCCUCCCUUCUCUUUCUCUUACUGCUGUCAUUUUUUUAGCUUCCCUGUACCUCUCCCUCUCUCAUUCUCCAAUUCCCCCUCUUUCUUUGUCGUUCUACCUCUGCAUGUUCUUUUUCUCUCUGCGCUUGUGUCCUGUUCCCUGCCCCUCUUUUUUUCAUCCUCUGUCUCUGUCCUGCAGGCCAUCACUACUUUUGUCUUUCUCAAUCUAUCUGUCUGUCUUCCUAUCCCAAUUGUUUUAAUUUCUCCCCAUCUGCUCUUUAGUCCUUCACCCCACCGCAGUUCUCUGUCUGGCACUGUGUCUCUAUUUUUAAAUUGCUCUUCCUCUGCCCUGUAUUCUGGUAUACUUUUUCUUUCUUAGAUUCACUCGUUCCAGGUCCCUGUCCCUAUGUUUUAAUUUCUUCCCUCUCUGUCCCAUAGCCCAUUUUUGUCUUUAUUGCUCGCUCUCUUUCUGGCUGCCUGUCCCUAUUCUUUAUUUCUCCUCUCUCUUCCCUUUAGAUCAUUGAUGUUUUUGGUAUUUCUCAGUCGCUCUCUGUCCACUGCACCAUCCCCUUUUUUAAUUCCUCCCUCUCUGCCCUGUGGCCCAUCACUAAUCUUUGUUUUUGUCCAUCUCAGUCUGGUACCCUCUCCCUUUUUAUUAGUGCCUCCUCUCUGUCCUGUAGCCCAUCACUAUUCCCCCUCCCCCCCCCUUUCUGUGUCUCCCUGUCCCUAUUUUUCAAUCCUUCCUCUCUGCCCUGUAGCCAAUUGCUGUUGUGGGUUUACGUGGCAAGGUUUUGUUAGGUGGGGCAAGGGGGUGCACGACCUGCAGGGGUGGGUUUUGUGAGAAGGCACCUGGCAUUGCCCCCAUGUUGGGCACAGCUAGUUCUAGCUCCAAGAUGGAUCUGCUGCUGGUCAAAGCUGAGCCAACCAGCAACGCUGGUAGCACCUCUGUGAUAUUUAAGGAGGGCUAAAAAAUGCUGCGCAGAAGCUGUGAUGCAGAAAAUGGGAGUGUGAAACAGCCCUGCAGGCACCAAGAUCAGUGAAGAAGCAGAGGGAGGAGGUGAUCCAGGUGCCAGAGCAGGGCUUGCCCUGCAGCCUGUGGUGAA
Molecule: long non-coding RNA, 2009 nt
Organism: Aquila chrysaetos chrysaetos
Lineage: Eukaryota; Metazoa; Chordata; Aves; Accipitriformes; Accipitridae
Exons: 3
Source: RefSeq, a predicted model, not a curated record